This 443-nucleotide long non-coding RNA is filed under the name Cyanistes caeruleus (blue tit). Its description in RNAcentral is "lncRNA (ENSCCEG00000020709.1)". The record is from RNAcentral. Lineage: Eukaryota; Metazoa; Chordata; Aves; Passeriformes; Paridae.
GGAACAAAGAGAGCAAUGAUCAAAGAAGGGGUCCUCAACACCACCUAGCUUGAUUCCUUUGGGAGAGAAAAAACUGUUUAUGUUUUCUCCUAAUUUUAAGCUGAUCAAUUCUUUCAACUUAUCAGUUUUAACUAGGAAAGUAACACAAGAUUCUAUCACCAUUUCUAAUAUUAAUACAUGCAGAAUUUACUGCAUGAGGAAGAAAAGUAACAUGGAAGAGCAGAAAUUCUGUCACAGGUGGAGAGGAGGCCUACAGGAGAGUUCAGGAGCUCCCCCUCAUCACUAGCACUGGAGGCUUCCUCUUCCCUCUGAUCACUCUGGGGAUCAGCAGUGACUGCAAAACGUGAACUCUUACCCCACCUAAGUACCAUGUUAAAUCAGUCAGAAUGCUACGGAUGAGUAGCUGUAUAGCCACUACAUCUGAAGGCACAACAAGGCUCAGG